UUAACUCCAUUGCUUCCUUUCAG
This 23-nucleotide non-coding RNA is filed under the name Cricetulus griseus (Chinese hamster). The record is from RNAcentral. Lineage: Eukaryota; Metazoa; Chordata; Mammalia; Rodentia; Cricetidae.